Molecule: ribosomal RNA, 1019 nt
Filed under: uncultured bacterium
Lineage: Bacteria
Description: bacterial SSU rRNA
Rfam family: Bacterial small subunit ribosomal RNA
Source: RNAcentral
UGAGGAAUAUUGGUCAAUGGGCGUAAGCCUGAACCAGCCAAGUAGCGUGAGGGAAGACUGCCCUAUGGGUUGUAAACCUCUUUUGUGCGGGGAUAAAGUGUGGGACGUGUCCCAUAUUGCAGGUACCGCACGAAUAAGGACCGGCUAAUUCCGUGCCAGCAGCCGCGGUAAUACGGAAGGUCCGGGCGUUAUCCGGAUUUAUUGGGUUUAAAGGGAGCGCAGGCCGUCCUUUAAGCGUGCUGUGAAAUGCCGCGGCUCAACCGUGGCACUGCAGCGCGAACUGGAGGACUUGAGUACGCACGAGGUAGGCGGAAUUCGUGGUGUAGCGGUGAAAUGCUUAGAUAUCACGAAGAACUCCGAUUGCGAAGGCAGCUUACCGGAGCGCAACUGACGCUGAGGCUCGAAAGCGCGGGUAUCGAACAGGAUUAGAUACCCUGGUAGUCCGCGCGGUAAACGAUGGAUGCCCGCCGUUGGGAUUUUGAUUUCAGCGGCCAAGCGAAAGCGUUAAGCAUCCCACCUGGGGAGUACGCCGGCAACGGUGAAACUCAAAGGAAUUGACGGGGGCCCGCACAAGCGGAGGAACAUGUGGUUUAAUUCGAUGAUACGCGAGGAACCUUACCCGGGCUUGAAUUGCAGGAGAACGAUCCAGAGAUGGUGAGGCCCUUCGGGGCUCCUGUGAAGGUGCUGCAUGGUUGUCGUCAGCUCGUGCCGUGAGGUGUCGGCUCAAGUGCCAUAACGAGCGCAACCCCUGUCCAUAGUUGCCAUCAGGUCGUGCUGGGCACUCUGUGGAGACUGCCGCCGUAAGGUGUGAGGAAGGUGGGGAUGACGUCAAAUCAGCACGGCCCUUACGUCCGGGGCUACACACGUGUUACAAUGGGGCAUACAGCGAGUUGGAUGUGCGCAAGUACGUCCGGAUCAAUAAAGUGCCUCUCAGUUCGGACUGGGGUCUGCAACCCGACCCCACGAAGCUGGAUUCGCUAGUAAUCGCGCAUCAGCCAUGGCGCGGUGAAUACGUUCCC